Long non-coding RNA from Oreochromis aureus, 1542 nucleotides. The record is from Ensembl. Lineage: Eukaryota; Metazoa; Chordata; Actinopteri; Cichliformes; Cichlidae.
CAGGUCACUCUGAGAGAAACAUCUUCUACUCUUCGGUAUUUGUUAUUUCCUGAAGACAACAUUUCCUGUGCUCUAAAAGGACACGAGGAGUUUCCCUCUCCACCAGUGUAUGCUCCAGAGCUUCCUCUGUGUCAGUGAGUCCCUCUGCUGAGAUAGUGGAGGGCAGUUCAGUGACUCUGACCUGUAGCAGUGAUGCUAACCCAGCAGCUAAUUACACCUGGUACAAGGAGGAUGAAGACUCCUCUAGAACAUCAGGACACAACUUCACCAUCAGCAACAUCAGACCUGAGCACAGUGGGAGUUAUUACUGUGUGGCCCACAACAAUAGAGGGACUCAUAACUCCACCUUACAGCUGACUGUUGUAGCAGGUAAUCAAUGACAUUCAGCUCAUGUGGAUUUAAUGAUGAUGGCAGUGAGGAGGAUAGCUCAUCCAACAGCUGGAAGCUGCUCGGUCACUUCAAAGAUCACACUCUCCACAUUUUUACAUCCUAGAAUUUUGUCCUCUUCAUUGUUGGUGAUAUAAAUCUGAUGUGUUGCUUUUCUGUAUACAGAACAUCUGUUGCUCUGAGGAAGAGCUUUGGCUGCAUUGUUGGGUUCUUCUGGCAGUGUUUGACUUUAACUUACACUUGACUGAUGGCCUUUCUUCACAAAGUAUCCUCCUCACUGCAUGAGCUCAGAGGUUAAUAGUAGAAGUUAAACAUGUAGACAAAGUUACAACUGAAAGCUGCUGAAACUGCAGCAGUACUGUUCUGUACUUUUUGUAGCAGUCGUUGACAUAUGAUAUAUGACUCUACAUUCUUAGUGUUACUUUCUGUACUCAGGAAGUGAUGCUGGUUUAACUUCAAAUUUAAUUGUAAUGUUUCUGUUUUUCUCACAUGAACUUCUGACAUCAGCAGUGGUGUAGCAGGAGUCUGGAGGAGGAUAUGUCUUCCUAAAACUUGUUCAUUAACUGCUCAAAUUUUCAAUGCUGGGAUGGCACCAGUUAACUCAUUGUGCUGAAGGACUAAUCUAAGUUGUCUAACUCUAACUAUAUGCCAGUACAUCAGUGAUCAGAGCACUGCUUUAACUGUUCUAACCUGCAGUAACUCUACUUUAUGUUACAAUCAGAUAAUUGAGGCCAUAAAAUAAGGAAAGCAUUACAUGAGUUUCAGUGAACUCAAGUCUUACAGUAGCUUAUUUUGCUGACUAUUCGUGCAUGAACAAGCUCCUGUACAGUUUUACAAAGAGUACAAUUAUCUAAAAUUCCAGGCACAGUAACAUUUAUUCUACAAUGUUGUGGCUUAACUUGACUUGAUGUCGUGCCUGAAUCGACUCUGUGCUCAGUUGUUGUAAUGCUAACUUAACUGUCAGUGUUUUAUUUUGAUCUUUGUUUCCACAGGAGCAGGAACAUUAGAAGCUGCUGGAGUAACUGCUGCUGUUCUCCUGCCUGUCAUAUUCUUCUCUGUCUUCCUGUGGAUUCAGUGAGCAGAUCUGUUACAUUAUUGUUUACAAGAUAAAGUUUGAUGAGUUUAUGAAUGUCAUUAUUUUGUUCAACAUUAAUU